RNAcentral lists this ribosomal RNA (506 nucleotides) under uncultured bacterium. RNAcentral describes it as "bacterial SSU rRNA". It matches the Rfam family "Bacterial small subunit ribosomal RNA", at positions 28 to 518 of the family's 1533-position model. The record is from RNAcentral.
GAUGAACGCUAGCUACAGGCUUAACACAUGCAAGUCGAGGGGAAACGAUAUUGGAAGCUUGCUUCCGAUAGGCGUCGACCGGCGCACGGGUGAGUAACGCGUAUCCAACCUGCCCAUCACUUGGGAAUAACCUUGCGAAAGUAAGACUAAUGCCCAAUGACAUUUAUAGAAGGCAUCUGAAAUGAAUUAAAGAUUUAUCGGUGAUGGAUGGGGAUGCGUCUGAUUAGCUUGUUGGCGGGGUAACGGCCCACCAAGGCGACGAUCAGUAGGGGUUCUGAGAGGAAGGUCCCCCCACAUUGGAACUGAGACACGGUCCAAAACUCCUAACGGGAGGCAGCAGUGAGGAAUAUUGGUCAAUGGACGUAAGUCUGAACCAGCCAAGUAGCGUGCAGGAUGACGGCCCUAUGGGUUGUAAACUGCUUUUAUGCGGGGAUAAAGUUGGGGACGUGUCCCUUUUUGCAGGUACCGCAUGAAUAAGGACCGGCUAAUUCCGUGCCAGCAGCCGC